Long non-coding RNA from Cynoglossus semilaevis (tongue sole), 3034 nucleotides. RefSeq lists it as uncharacterized. NCBI's taxonomy places the organism in Eukaryota, Metazoa, Chordata, Actinopteri, Pleuronectiformes, Cynoglossidae. The transcript is spliced from 5 exons. The record is from RefSeq and is a predicted model, not a curated record.
AGGAGCUGUUCCCUGAGGUUUUCAUGCUGGUCUGUGGGAAGGUCGCUCCAGUGACGGGAGAUCUUCAUGUGAAGGGUGCUGGCACCAAAGAAUUGCACCUCUGGGAGCUGAGAAGAGACAUUUUCACACGUCACGAGAAACCCCAAGAGGACAGACCUUGUCUUGGCUGAGCAGGGCCCAGCAGAAGUGCCAGGCUUGUGCGGAAGCCUGGGCCUGGGUCAGCCAUUUCUGGGCCACAUUCUUAUGCUCCAUGGUAGGAUCAAAGUAAAGCUGGUAGAGAGUCUGAAGAGGACGAAGGAGCAGAAAUAAUGGACAUGGGCAUCAAAAUUAACUGAUCGUCUAUACCAGUGGUUAUCAAAUUUUUUAUACUCUGUACCACCUGAGAAAACAUUGAGUUGAGUUGAAAGUUAAUAGACUUUUUUUACAAUUCAAAAAUCAGAAAUACUUUAUCAAUUCUUAAGGGGGGGUUGAUCCAACAUCUCUAUGGCAACUUCUGGAAAGCCAGAGGUUUGGAAAUAAUAGAUAAAAAAAGAUAAGAAACAAACCAUACACCCCUAUAUUUUUUUCAUUUAUUUUCAUUCAUUUGAUCUCGCAUCACUACAUUGCUUAUACAUGCCAGGCCACUAGAUGGCGCAGCGCAUUUGUGGUGGAAUGGAAUUUACAGGAAGAACAAAUCCUGCCGCCGUGACAACAAAACGUUUAUCUCAUUUAUUAUUACUAUAAGUAAGUAAAUAUCCACUCAUUUUGUUGUACAUUCUAUAUGUUAUGAGUUAAUUAUGUGACUGAGUAAUUCGCUGUGCACAUACGAGCCAAAUUAACCGGUUAUCGAGAGAGGGUUGGUGUCGAGUGAGUAUGAAGUGUAUGCUAAGUGGCUAAUGGCCCUGUGGAGUUAAUUGACGCGCUGAAUAUAUGCCGACGUUUUUGACGUUAAGUGUUUUAUGAAAUGUCACUUUAAUUUGCUUAAUAAGUUUUAUUCGUACACAAAUUGAUAUUUCUUGCAUUGUUGCCAGCACCAGGAAAACGCUACUCCAUAGUUAAAGUGCAGCAUCGUUGAUAGAGUGAAGAAUGUAGCUACUGUAGUUGACGUAGAAAAGUAAAUAAUAUUUACAGUAAAAAGUAAUUUCGUGAUAUUGAAAUUAAUUCUUGGUGAAAAGUUGCUUUAGUGCAAACAAAUUUUUUUUUUCCAUGAACACAAUAGAAUGUUUUAUUAUUGUUAUUGUUUUUAUAAAACGGCCAAAUUAUAUGGAAGUUGCGGCUAAAGCUAAGGGCAUUAGCUAAGACGAGAAAAAAAAACAAUUCGCGGCACCCAGUCUAUCGAGCUAGUGGCAACAAAAACAUGGACAAUUGAGUCUAGGUAAUUGAGGUAACCCAAUAGUCCUACAUGACUGGACAAGAACCACGGCAUUUAAAUUACGGCAAUGUCGCUGUAUUCUACACUCUGUGCCCUUGAAUAGUACAGUUGUCAUUAUUUCAGGCUGUGUUGUGGAGGGAACUAAUCCAAAGCACAUGGUGUUGGUUAUUAUUAGGACAGCAUAUGCUUAUAGCUAGUCUCAGGUUACACAUGGUCCAGUCUCUGUCCGACCCGUUCAAAGUUACAUUACUAAUGAAAACGUUUUUUCUAGCAGGGUUAAUAUAUAUUAUUUUUAAAUUGGAUUGGAAAUUCGGAAACAAGAUCUCUAUGGGGGGGAGUUCUGCAAAACAAAAUCAACAAAUAUCUAAAAAGUUACAAUAAUUGAAAAAUAGGACUGCUGUCAACUCACCGACUCUACAUUCUCCACCGAUAACUCCAACUCCACCGGGCUUUUUGCCGAAGGAUUGUCUGGAGUAGAAGGCUCCAUGGCUGUUUCUCCGCUUUCGGAUUUUAGAAUAACGGCCGACCGUUAAAAGAAAGAAAAAAAAAAAGAAAGCGACUAUAGACUAGUGUUGUCUCCACAGUGUGUGUCGAGGGAAGCCAGCUGACAGAGGACGCAGCGGGUCAUUCAGCUGUCAUCCUGCAAGUACACAUGGUGGCCAGUGCGCACAGGCGUGACCACAUAUACCCUAUACUGACCUCUGCGGACACUGACAAAGCAACGAAACGAAUAUCACCUGCUAUUAAUAAUCAAACCUGUAAUCACUGAAAACUACGUGACACCCCCAAAGCUUUAUAACAAGCCCCCGCAUCCCCGGCAUCGGCUUCACAACAGGCGCUCCUGGCCUGACGCACACGACCGAGCCUCUGACGCACUGGCUCCUGAUUGGAGCCGAGGAGCGACACACUGAUGCAUGUGGUAGGGAUGGAUGCUGAUGAUGUGUGAGUACGUGAAAAGAUCGUGAUGUGCCAUGCGCCGCCUGCUGGCGGCCCCACCCCUGCCUCCGCUCUUCUGCCCGACUCCCUCAAGAUAUUUUUAGCGCAGAUGAUGAGCCCCAGUUCACUACACGUCAAAGAAAACGAGCUCAGAGCUAAAAGGGCAGAAGCUGUGGCGGAGAGAGACCGGUGAGAUCUGCAGCAGAUGAGAUGAGACUACACGGCCAUUUACUAUUACUGGUCCUGGUGGUUCUGAUCGGCUCGUCGGAGACACAAGGUCAGAGCAGUGCUUUGACCUCUGUCUUCACUACAAAGACCUUUCCAAAUCAUGCUGACAGCACGGUAUCACCUGACCUGACGGAGGCUCCAGACACAAAGUGGACACACAGUGGUGCAGUCAAGGAUGAAACCUCACCUCAGAGCGCUAAAGGAACAGCCCACUGGGAGACCGCCACAGUUCCAGUAUCACUUGGAUCACAACAGAUGAACACACACCCUUCUGAAGCAACGUCACAACAAACAAGUUCAUUGGUUGGCAUGAGUACACAGCCCCAUGGUGCAUUUUCAGAUUCCGGGGACGGCCUUUCAUCCAAACCCUCUCUCUGGACCGCUGCCUUUUCAAGUCAAGCCUCCGUAUCUGCAAACAGGAGACAAGACUCCCCUACUGUCUCUCCAUCUACACCCUCCCACACAGGGAAGGCUACAAGCUCCGAAGGCCACACCUUCCCCACACAGUUACCGUCUCAG